UACGUAGGGUGCAAGCGUUAAUCGGAAUUACUGGGCGUAAAGCGUGCGCAGGCGGUUGUGCAAGACAGAUGUGAAAUCCCCGGGCUCAACCUGGGAACUGCAUUUGUGACUGCACGGCUAGAGUGCGGCAGAGGGAGAUGGAAUUCCGCGUGUAGCAGUGAAAUGCGUAGAUAUGCGGAGGAACACCGAUGGCGAAGGCAGCCCCCUGGGCUAGCACUGACGCUCAGGCACGAAAGCGUGGGGAGCAAACAGG
RNAcentral lists this ribosomal RNA (253 nucleotides) under uncultured bacterium. RNAcentral's name for it is "partial 16S ribosomal RNA". It matches the Rfam family "Bacterial small subunit ribosomal RNA", at positions 524 to 776 of the family's 1533-position model. The record is from RNAcentral.